GUGGGGAAUAUUGGGCAAUGGGCGAAAGCCUGACCCAGCAACGCCGCGUGAAGGAAGAAGGUCUUCGGAUCGUAAACUUCUAUCCUUGGUGAAGAUAAUGACGGUAGCCGAGAAGGAAGCCCCGGCUAACUACGUGCCAGCAGCCGCGGUCAUACGUAGGGGGCAAGCGUUGUCCGGAAUGAUUGGGCGUAAAGGGCGCGUAGGCGGCCUGGUAAGUCUGGAGUGAAAGUCCUGCUUUUAAGGUGGGAAUUGCUUUGGAUACUGUCGGGCUUGAGUGCAGGAGAGGUAAGUGGAAUUCCCGGUGUAGCGGUGAAAUGCGUAGAGAUCGGGAGGAACACCAGUGGCGAAGGCGACUUACUGGACUGUAACUGACGCUGAGGCGCGAAAGUGUGGGGAGCAAACAGGAUUAGAAACCCUGGUAGUCC
Molecule: ribosomal RNA, 425 nt
Filed under: uncultured bacterium
Lineage: Bacteria
Description: partial 16S ribosomal RNA
Rfam family: Bacterial small subunit ribosomal RNA
Source: RNAcentral